AUUGAACGCUGGCGGCAUGCUUUACACAUGCAAGUCGAACGGUAACAGGCCUUCGGGUGCUGACGAGUGGCGAGCGGGUGAGUAAUGCAUCGGAACGUGCCCAGAGGUGGGGGAUAACGCAGCGAAAGCUGUGCUAAUACCGCAUGUGAUCUGAGGAUGAAAGCGGGGGACCAAGCAGCAAUGUUUGGCCUCGCGCCUCUGGAGCGGCCGAUGUCAGAUUAGGUAGUUGGUGGGGUAAAGGCCUACCAAGCCGACGAUCUGUAGCUGGUCUGAGAGGACGACCAGCCACACUGGGACUGAGACACGGCCCAGACUCCUACGGGAGGCAGCAGUGGGGAAUUUUGGACAAUGGGCGCAAGCCUGAUCCAGCAAUGCCGCGUGCGGGAAGAAGGCCUUCGGGUUGUAAACCGCUUUUGUACGGAACGAAAAGGCUCUGGCUAAUACCUGGGGCUGAUGACGGUACCAUAAGAAUAAGCACCGGCUAACUACGUG
This 492-nucleotide ribosomal RNA is filed under the name uncultured bacterium. RNAcentral's name for it is "partial 16S ribosomal RNA". It matches the Rfam family "Bacterial small subunit ribosomal RNA", at positions 30 to 507 of the family's 1533-position model. The record is from RNAcentral.